Molecule: long non-coding RNA, 250 nt
Filed under: Panax ginseng (ginseng)
Lineage: Eukaryota; Viridiplantae; Streptophyta; Magnoliopsida; Apiales; Araliaceae
Description: long non-coding RNA (PGIN_LNC012797)
Source: RNAcentral
UCGAAUCACAGACUCAAUUCGAUUUUGAGCAAACCAAUGAAGCAAAAAUCACAAAUACACAGACCCAUGAAGCUAAUGAAGAAAUUAGUGAAGAAGAAGAAGAUGAUGAAGAGCCACAAAGCCUAUAUGAAGCUAAAGAAGAAAUUAGUGAAGAAGAUGAUGAGCCACAAAGCCUAGAUGAAGCUAAUGAAGAAAUUAGAAAAAGAAGAAGAUGAAGAGCCACAAAGCCUAGAUGAGGUUUACAGUCAGC